Molecule: ribosomal RNA, 496 nt
Filed under: uncultured bacterium
Lineage: Bacteria
Description: partial 16S ribosomal RNA
Rfam family: Bacterial small subunit ribosomal RNA
Source: RNAcentral
GACGAACGCUGGCGGCGUGCCUAAUACAUGCAAGUCGAACGAGAGCGACCGGUGCUUGCACUGGUCAAUCUAGUGGCGAACGGGUGAGUAACACGUGGGUAACCUGCCCAUCAGAGGGGGAUAACAUCCGGAAACGGAUGCUAAAACCGCAUAGGUCUUCGAGCCGCAUGGCUUGAAGAGGAAAAGAGGCGCAAGCUUCUGCUGAUGGAUGGACCCGCGGUGCAUUAGCUAGUUGGUGAGGUAACGGCUCACCAAGGCCGUGAUGCAUAGCCGACCUGAGAGGGUGAUCGGCCACAUUGGGACUGAGACAUGGCCCAAACUCCUACGGGAGGCAGCAGUAGGGAAUCUUCCGCAAUGGACGCAAGUCUGACGGAGCAACGCCGCGUGAGUGAAGAAGGUUUUCGGAUCGUAAAACUCUGUUGUUAGAGAAGAACAAGUGCUAGAGUAACUGUUAGCGCCUUGACGGUAUCUAACCAGAAAGCCACGGCUAACUACG